GACGAACGCUGGCGGCGUGCUUAACACAUGCAAGUCGAACGGAAAGGCCCUGCUUUUGUGGGGUGCUCGAGUGGCGAACGGGUGAGUAACACGUGAGUAACCUGCCCUUGACUUUGGGAUAACUUCAGGAAACUGGGGCUAAUACCGGAUAGGAGCUCCUGCUGCAUGGUGGGGGUUGGAAAGUUUCGGCGGUUGGGGAUGGACUCGCGGCUUAUCAGCUUGUUGGUGGGGUAGUGGCUUACCAAGGCUUUGACGGGUAGCCGGCCUGAGAGGGUGACCGGCCACAUUGGGACUGAGAUACGGCCCAGACUCCUACGGGAGGCAGCAGUGGGGAAUAUUGCACAAUGGGCGGAAGCCUGAUGCAGCAACGCCGCGUGCGGGAUGACGGCCUUCGGGUUGUAAACCGCUUUCGCCUGUGACGAAGCGUGAGUGACGGUAAUGGGUAAAGAAGCACCGGCUAACUACGUGCCAGCAGCCGCGGUGAUACGUAGGGUGCGAGCGUUGUCCGGAUUUAUUGGGCGUAAAGGGCUCGUAGGUGGUUGAUCGCGUCGGAAGUGUAGUCUUGGGGCUUAACCCUGAGCGUGCCUUCGAUACGGGUUGACUUGAGGAAGGUAGGGGAGAAUGGAAUUCCUGGUGGAGCGGUGGAAUGCGCAGAUAUCAGGAGGAACACCAGUGGCGAAGGCGGUUCUCUGGGCCUUUCCUGACGCUGAGGAGCGAAAGCGUGGGGAGCGAACAGGCUUAGAUACCCUGGUAGUCCACGCUGUAAACGGUGGGUACUAGGUGUGGGGUCCAUUCCACGGGUUCCGUGCCGUAGCUAACGCUUUAAGUACCCCGCCUGGGGAGUACGGCCGCAGGGCUAAAACUCAAAGGAAUUGACGGGGCCCCGCACAAGCGGCGGAGCAUGCGGAUUAAUUCGAUGCAACGCGUAGAACCUUACCUGGGUUUGACAUGGAUCGGGAGUGCUCAGAGAUGGGUGUGCCUCUUUUGGGGUCGGUUCACAGGUGGUGCAUGGCUGUCGUCAGCUCGUGUCGUGAGAUGUUGGGUUAAGUCCCGCAACGAGCGCAACCCUUGUUCACUGUUGCCAGCACGUUAUGGUGGGGACUCAGUGGAGACCGCCGGGGUCAACUCGGAGGAAGGUGGGGAUGACGUCAAGUCAUCAUGCCCCUUAUGUCCAGGGCUUCACGCAUGCUACAAUGGCUGGUACAGAGAGUGGCGAGCCUGUGAGGGUGAGCGAAUCUCGGAAAGCCGGUCUCAGUUCGGAUUGGGGUCUGCAACUCGACCUCAUGAAGUCGGAGUCGCUAGUAAUCGCAGAUCAGCAACGCUGCGGUGAAUACGAUCCCGGGGCU
This 1346-nucleotide ribosomal RNA is filed under the name uncultured bacterium. Its description in RNAcentral is "partial 16S ribosomal RNA". It matches the Rfam family "Bacterial small subunit ribosomal RNA", at positions 28 to 1381 of the family's 1533-position model. The record is from RNAcentral.